RNAcentral lists this ribosomal RNA (486 nucleotides) under uncultured bacterium. RNAcentral's name for it is "partial 16S ribosomal RNA". It matches the Rfam family "Bacterial small subunit ribosomal RNA", at positions 30 to 507 of the family's 1533-position model. The record is from RNAcentral.
AUUGAACGCUGGCGGCAUGCCUUACACAUGCAAGUCGAACGGCAGCACGGGUGAUUGCACCUGGUGGCGAGUGGCGAACGGGUGAGUAAUAAAUAGGAACAUGUCCUGUAGUGGGGGAUAGCCCGGCGAAAGACGGAUUAAUACCGAAUACGAUCUACGGAUGAAAGCGGGGGGGCUUCGGUCGUCGCGCGCUAGGGUUGGCGGAUGGAUGAUUAGCUAGUUGGUGGGGUAAAGGCCUACCAAGGCGACGAUCGGUAGCUGGUCUGAGAGGACGACCAGCCACACUGGGACUGAGACACGGCCCAGACUCCUACGGGAGGCAGCAGUGGGGAAUUUUGGACAAUGGGCGAAAGCCUGAUCCAGCAAUGCCGCGUGUGUGAAGAAGGCCUUCGGGUUGUAAAGCACUUUUGUCCGGAAAGAAAUCCUUGGCCCUAAUACGGUCGUGGUAUGACGGUACCGGAAGAAUAAGCACCGGCUAACUACGUG